CUGCUAUCAGCAAAGUUACCUAAAGAAGUACAGUACUGAGACAGCUGAAUCCACCCACUCCUCUCUCCCUGUCUUACCUUGGGCCACAUUUCCAAAAUCAGUCUGUCAACACAGCAUAUGAGAGUUACUUAUAGCCAUGGAACAACAACCUCAACCUUGUGGUUGUCUGUCUUUUAAGUGAGACCAUAUUUUUGGCACAGCAGCAAUUAAAAAUUUUAAGAUUAAAUUUGUUAAUCAUUUUAAUUCUGUGACUUCCUUCACUACUUUGAUUUUAUAAUAUUUUCUUCUUGCUGAAAUUUGAUAUUUACUUUUGUUUCUUUUUUAUAUUUUG
This 331-nucleotide long non-coding RNA is filed under the name Fukomys damarensis (Damara mole-rat). RNAcentral's name for it is "lncRNA (ENSFDAG00000031138.1)". Lineage: Eukaryota; Metazoa; Chordata; Mammalia; Rodentia; Bathyergidae. The record is from RNAcentral.